Molecule: non-coding RNA, 213 nt
Filed under: Chromera velia
Lineage: Eukaryota; Chromeraceae
Source: RNAcentral
UAUUGAAAGGAGAAUGAGUAUACAGAUACGGAGUCGUUGACAGCCUGACUGUUCUGUCGUUGGCGUCGGCAGGAAAAGUGUGUACGUAGAAAGGUGUGCAUACCUUUCCUUUGGUUUCGGCCACCAAAAAGGCAGAGAAGUCUGAAGGGAGCGGUCGUUCGGUCUCCGCAUCUGCUGUUUGAUGCAUGGGUGCUUUGGUUGCUUUCGGGUGAA